GGUAAUAUUAGUUUAAUUGGCAAAAUAACGUCUUGUGGCGACGAUGUUCAGAGUUCAAGUCUCUGAUUUUACC
This 73-nucleotide transfer RNA is filed under the name Grifola frondosa (maitake). RNAcentral's name for it is "tRNA-His". It matches the Rfam family "tRNA". Rfam says of the family: Transfer RNA (tRNA) molecules are approximately 80 nucleotides in length. Their secondary structure includes four short double-helical elements and three loops (D, anti-codon, and T loops). The record is from RNAcentral. Lineage: Eukaryota; Fungi; Basidiomycota; Agaricomycetes; Polyporales; Grifolaceae. RNAcentral also lists the same sequence under 3 other names.